This 723-nucleotide long non-coding RNA is filed under the name Phoenix dactylifera (date palm). RNAcentral describes it as "long non-coding RNA (PDAC_LNC011414)". Lineage: Eukaryota; Viridiplantae; Streptophyta; Magnoliopsida; Arecales; Arecaceae. The record is from RNAcentral.
UUUUGGAACAAGCCGCAUGAUCAUCUUUUCCGCAUCAUCCCCGCUUCCGCGUUCAAAGGAAUUCCUCCCAGCCGAUCCCAACAUCCUCGUCUUCUCCUAAUCCUCCCAGAUCCUCUCAUUCCCUUCCGUUUCGAACACAGCCGCAGCAUUCCAGACCGACCGCUCGUCCCAGCGCGUUCACAGCAGAAUAAUAAGCCCCACCUCCUGUGCACGAUCCUCCGCUUCUACUCUCUCCGUGAUGCAUCCAAGAUCCUGGCAGUCCAGCCUCUUCCGUCGUCCAUUACACACCCAGAUCCACCUCCCGGAACUCUAGCACCCCAGCAAAGCCGCAAGAAUCGGUCCGGAUUUCCUCACGCGCCCGUUUCUUCUUCAGCCAGCAUCCCGGAUGAUCCGAUCCCGCGGCCAUCUCAUCUCCUUCCGUCCGCACAUCAGCCUCCUGUCGAUCCAGCAGCCAGCUCCAUUGAUCUGGUCAUUCAACCCGGCGCUCCAUGGAUCACGCUUUCCUCCCGAGAUUCAGCCAUUCUUUCUCUUCGUCCGCGAUCUGCCCUCCAGCAUCCCGCCCCGGAAUCAGGCCCGUGACCUCUUCUCCCUUCCCGAAUGAGCGCCCCAGACGAGUAUAAAGAGAGAAGGGUGGCCAUCGGCUUGGGGGGGCUGGGUUGGAUUGAAAACAGGGGAGCCCUGUUUCGGUGAAGAAAAAGGAAGAGAGGAGAAGGCCGAAUCAGA